GGACCCGCACAAGUAGUGGAGCAUGUGGUUUAAUUCGAAGAUACGCGCAGAACCUUACCAACACUUGACAUGUUCGUCGCGGCUCUAAGAGAUUAGAGCUUUCGGUUCGGCCGGACGAAACACAGGUGCUGCAUGGCUGUCGUCAGCUCGUGUCGUGAGAUGUUGGGUUAAGUCCCGCAACGAGCGCAACCCUCACUUUUAGUUGCCAUCAUUUAGUUGGCACUCUGAAAGAACUGCCAGUGAUAAGCUGGAGGAAGGUGGGAUGACGUCAAGUCCUCAUGGCCCUUACGUGUUGGGCUACACACGUGCUACAAUGGCAUUUACAAUGGGUUAAUCCCCCAAAAACUAUCUCA
Molecule: ribosomal RNA, 353 nt
Filed under: uncultured bacterium
Lineage: Bacteria
Description: bacterial SSU rRNA
Rfam family: Bacterial small subunit ribosomal RNA
Source: RNAcentral